Molecule: ribosomal RNA, 275 nt
Filed under: Metschnikowia caudata
Lineage: Eukaryota; Fungi; Ascomycota; Pichiomycetes; Serinales; Metschnikowiaceae
Description: partial 18S ribosomal RNA
Rfam family: Eukaryotic small subunit ribosomal RNA
Source: RNAcentral
CCUUGGCCGAGAGGCCUGGGAAAUCUUGGGAAACUCCGUCGUGCUGGGGAUAGAGCUUUGUAAUUUUUGCUCUUGAACGAGGAAUUCCUAGUAAGCGCAAGUCAUCAGCUUGCGUUGAUUACGUCCCUGCCCUUUGUACACACCGCCCGUCGCUACUACCGAUUGAAUGGCUUAGUGAGGCCUCCGGAUUUGCCAGGGCGAGGGCAACCUUGCUUGAGCGGAGAAGCUGGUCAAACUUGGUCAUUUAGAGGAAGUAAAAGUCGUAACAAGGUUUC